RNAcentral lists this ribosomal RNA (440 nucleotides) under uncultured bacterium. RNAcentral describes it as "bacterial SSU rRNA". It matches the Rfam family "Bacterial small subunit ribosomal RNA", at positions 338 to 795 of the family's 1533-position model. The record is from RNAcentral.
CCUACGGGAGGCAGCAGUGGGGAAUCUUAGACAAUGGGCGCAAGCCUGAUCUAGCCAUGCCGCGUGAGUGAUGAAGGCCUUAGGGUCGUAAAGCUCUUUCGCCUGUGAAGAUAAUGACUGUAGCAGGUAAAGAAACCCCGGCUAACUCCGUGCCAGCAGCCGCGGUAAUACGGAGGGGGUUAGCGUUGUUCGGAAUUACUGGGCGUAAAGCGCGCGUAGGCGGACAUUUAAGUCAGAGGUGAAAUCCCAGGGCUCAACCCUGGAACUGCCUUUGAUACUGGGUGUCUUGAGUUCGAGAGAGGUGAGUGGAAUUCCGAGUGUAGAGGUGAAAUUCGUAGAUAUUCGGAGGAACACCAGUGGCGAAGGCGGCUCACUGGCUCGAUACUGACGCUGAGGUGCGAAAGUGUGGGGAGCAAACAGGAUUAGAUACCCUUGUAGUC